This 273-nucleotide long non-coding RNA is filed under the name Prunus persica (peach). Its description in RNAcentral is "long non-coding RNA (PPER_LNC007907)". The record is from RNAcentral. Lineage: Eukaryota; Viridiplantae; Streptophyta; Magnoliopsida; Rosales; Rosaceae.
CAAAAGUCUAGUUUGACAAUUUUGAUUAACUUGUUAGCGAGAUCCUAGUGUAAUUAGGAGAUUUACUUCCUAAUAUAUUAUGAUUCUAUUUAUUUCCUUUUGUAUAGAUAUUAUGUAAUUAGGACUUUAUCUUAGUUUCCUAGUAUAACCCUACUAGGGUUUGAACUCUUGUAUUAUAAAUACCUCAUUUUAGAGAAUGAAAUAUAAUAUGAAACUAUUCUACCCACUUUGUUUGAUAUGGUAUCAGAGCAAACUUUUCUAGUGACCUGUGUG